ACCGUAAAAGUGAAGAAAUUUUACCUUUAUNUUUAAAAAUUUUUUUUGANNNNGGAAAGAUAAAUUUUUUUANAAAAGUAAAAUUUUAAAAAGANUAUUUUUUUCANGAANUUGAAAUUUUNAAAAAUUCAAUAAUGAAACUAGGAUUAGAUACCCUAUUAUUUUUGAGCGGAGAGAAAUNUAGGUAGUAGUAGAAGGCUUGAAACUUAAAGAAUUUGGCGGUGUUUUAAUCUAACCAGAGGAACUUGCGUUUUAAUUCGAAAUUACACGUUUUAUCUUACUUAAAAUUAUGUUUGUAUAUCGUCGUAAAAAUAAAACUUUAAAGUGUAUAUUUAGCUUUAUUUAANUAAUAAAUUACAGAUCAAGGUUCAGCUNAUGUUUGAGNAAAACGUGAGUUACAAUAUUNNUUAAAGUAUAUGAAUAAAUUUCUNNGAAGAGNAAAUUUUGAAGGUGGAUUUGGAAGU
Molecule: ribosomal RNA, 464 nt
Filed under: Buthus sp. E DP-2013
Lineage: Eukaryota; Metazoa; Arthropoda; Arachnida; Scorpiones; Buthidae
Description: partial 12S ribosomal RNA
Source: RNAcentral